Non-coding RNA from Bos taurus (domestic cattle), 72 nucleotides. Lineage: Eukaryota; Metazoa; Chordata; Mammalia; Artiodactyla; Bovidae. The record is from Rfam.
UCCCUGGUGGUCUAGUGGAUAAGACUCUAUGUUCCCAAUGAAGGGGCCCGGGCUCAAUCCCUGGUCAGGGAA